AAGGGAAGAGAAAAAGAAAGGAGGCCAUUUUUGGCUUGGGUGUCGUUGGCCAUAGAGAGAAGAGAGAGAGAGAGAGUGGCGAUUUAGAGAGAGAAAGGGCUGCCAUUUUCUAGAGAGAAGGAGGAAAGAAAGAAUGAGAAAGGAAAAGGGUUUCAAAGCUCUAAGACUUUAAGCAAGGAGGUGGUUCUAGUUGGGCUCUUGAUUUUCUAUCAAGAGAGGUAGCAAAUAGGUUUUUCUAUGGCACGCGUGGUGAUGUGGGGAGUUCUGUCGUCCUGGUGUGUAUGGCGUGGGGGCAUCCUAUGGACGAGAAACGAUCAGUUUUAAACGCCAUUUUCUUUUAAUAAUGUUAUGUUUAAUGGGACUUUUUUUUUAUUUAUCAGUAGGACUUGAACUUUUGAUUGUUUUAGAACUUUGCAUGAAAACUGAUAUUUUCUUUUUAAACUA
Long non-coding RNA from Humulus lupulus (European hop), 444 nucleotides. RefSeq lists it as uncharacterized. The transcript has 3 exons. NCBI's taxonomy places the organism in Eukaryota, Viridiplantae, Streptophyta, Magnoliopsida, Rosales, Cannabaceae. The record is from RefSeq and is a predicted model, not a curated record.